UACAGAGGUCCCAAGCGUUGUCCGGAAUCAUUGGGCGUAAAGAGCGUGUAGGCGGCCCGGUAAGUCCGCUGUGAAAGUCCAGGGCUCAACCCUGGGAUGCCGGUGGAUACUGUCGGGCUCGAGUCCGGAAGAGGAGUGUGGAAUUCCUGGUGUAGCGGUGAAAUGCGCAGAUAUCAGGAGGAACACCAAUGGCGAAGGCAGCACUCUGGGACGUGACUGACGCUGAGACGCGAAAGCGUGGGGAGCAAACAGG
This 253-nucleotide ribosomal RNA is filed under the name uncultured bacterium. Its description in RNAcentral is "partial 16S ribosomal RNA". It matches the Rfam family "Bacterial small subunit ribosomal RNA", at positions 524 to 776 of the family's 1533-position model. The record is from RNAcentral.